Molecule: ribosomal RNA, 296 nt
Filed under: uncultured bacterium
Lineage: Bacteria
Description: partial 16S ribosomal RNA
Rfam family: Bacterial small subunit ribosomal RNA
Source: RNAcentral
GGUAGUCCACGCUGUAAACGAUGGAUACUAGCUGUUGGAGGUAUCGACCCCUUCAGUAGCGAAGCUAACGCGUUAAGUAUCCCGCCUGUGGAGUACGGUCGCAAGACUAAAACAUAAAGGAAUUGACGGGGAGCAGCACAAGCGGUGGAGCAUGUUCUUUAAUUCGACGAUAAUCGAAGAACCUUACCCAGGUUUGACAUCCUUGGAAUUUCUCCGAAAGGAAAAGUGCUUUAUUGAACCAAGUGACAGGUGAUGCAUGGCCGUCGUCAGCUCGUGUCGUGAGAUGUUUGGUUAAG